GUUUCAAAGACAUUCAUCUUUAUUCUAGCUUCAAGAUACAAGUAUCAGAAUUCAUUGUUCAUUACAAAAUCAAAGAGAAUGCUUGGAAUUUCAAAGUGCAAAUCGGAAAAGCUUUGUUUCAUCAAUAUUUUCAAGCUCAUUACAAGAUUCAAAUACAAAGUGUUACAUGAAAUUUCUAAGUUUCUAAAGUCUAAGCCAAAAUCCAACUUCUUGUUACCUUCAUGCUACAAUUAUUCUUCGUGCCCUUAUGUCUUGGAAUAUCACUCCAUACUCAAUUUGCAUCCAACUUUUGCCUUGUACCAAAGCUGCCCAAUUUCCAGCCCCUGCAUAAAUGGAAAAACUGUCAAAUUCUGA
Non-coding RNA from Vicia faba (fava bean), 354 nucleotides. The record is from the annotation of a GenBank genome assembly. Lineage: Eukaryota; Viridiplantae; Streptophyta; Magnoliopsida; Fabales; Fabaceae.